GCAGGGAUGCCUGAGAUGGCUUAAAGGAGCGGAUUGCAAAUCCGAUGUUCGGGGGUUCGAAUCCCCCUCCCUGCU
This 75-nucleotide transfer RNA is filed under the name Cronobacter phage vB_CsaM_GAP32. It matches the Rfam family "tRNA". Rfam says of the family: Transfer RNA (tRNA) molecules are approximately 80 nucleotides in length. Their secondary structure includes four short double-helical elements and three loops (D, anti-codon, and T loops). Further hydrogen bonds mediate the characteristic L-shaped molecular structure. tRNAs have two regions of fundamental functional importance: the anti-codon, which is responsible for specific mRNA codon recognition, and the 3' end, to which the tRNAs corresponding amino acid is attached (by aminoacyl-tRNA synthetases). tRNAs cope with the degeneracy of the genetic code in two manners: having more than one tRNA (with a specific anti-codon) for a particular amino acid; and 'wobble' base-pairing, i.e. permitting non-standard base-pairing at the 3rd anti-codon position. Lineage: Duplodnaviria; Heunggongvirae; Uroviricota; Caudoviricetes. The record is from Rfam by way of RNAcentral.